Molecule: ribosomal RNA, 251 nt
Filed under: uncultured bacterium
Lineage: Bacteria
Description: partial 16S ribosomal RNA
Rfam family: Bacterial small subunit ribosomal RNA
Source: RNAcentral
UACGUAGGGGGCGAGCGUUGUCCGGAUUUAUUGGCGUAAAACGCUUGUAGGCGGCCACCGCGCGUCGGACGUGAAUCUCCCGGCUCAACUGGGAGGGUCGUGCCGAUACGGCGGGGCUCGAGGCCGGUAGGGGACGCGGAAUUCCCGGUGUGAGUGGUGGAAUGCGUAGAUAUCAGGAGGAACACCAAUGGCGAAGGCAGCUCGCUGGGACGUGACUGACGCUGAGACGCGAAGCGUGGGGAGCAAACAGG